This 424-nucleotide ribosomal RNA is filed under the name uncultured bacterium. Its description in RNAcentral is "bacterial SSU rRNA". It matches the Rfam family "Bacterial small subunit ribosomal RNA", at positions 356 to 772 of the family's 1533-position model. The record is from RNAcentral.
GGGGAAUAUUGGACAAUGGGGGCAACCCUGAUCCAGCAAUGCCGCGUGUGUGAAGAAGGCCGGCGGGUUGUAAAGCACUUUGGUUGGGGAGGAAAGAUAUACAGAGAAUAUCUGUGUAAGUUGACGUUACCCAAAGAACAAGCACCGGCUAACUCUGUGCCAGCAGCCGCGGUAAUACAGAGGGUGCGAGCGUUAAUCGGAAUUACUGGGCGUAAAGGGCGCGUAGGCGGCUAUAUAAGUUAUGUGUGAAAUCUCUGGGCUUAACCUGGGAACUGCCCAUAAUACUGUGUAGCUAGAGUAGAGUAGAGGAAAGUGGAAUUUCCGGUGUAGCGGUGAAAUGCGUAGAUAUCGGAAGGAACACCAGUGGCGAAGGCGGCUUUCUGGACUCAUACUGACGCUGAGGCGCGAAAGCGUGGGGAGCAAA